This 433-nucleotide ribosomal RNA is filed under the name uncultured bacterium. RNAcentral's name for it is "partial 16S ribosomal RNA". It matches the Rfam family "Bacterial small subunit ribosomal RNA", at positions 29 to 507 of the family's 1533-position model. The record is from RNAcentral.
AACGAACGCUGGCGGCAUGCCUAACACAUGCAAGUCGAACGAGACCUUCGGGUCUAGUGGCGCACGGGUGCGUAACGCGUGGGAACCUGCCCUUAGGUUCGGAAUAACUCCCCGAAAGGGGUGCUAAUACCGGAUAAUGUCUUCGGACCAAAGAUUUAUUGCCUUUGGAUGGGCCCGCGUUGGAUUAGCUAGUUGGUAGGGUAAAAGCCUACCCAGGCGACGAUCCAUAGCUGGUCUGAGAGGAUGAUCAGCCACACUGGGACUGGGACACGGCCCAGACUCCUACGGGAGGCAGCAGUGGGGAAUAUUGGACGAUGGGCGAAAGCCUGAUCCAGCAAUGCCGCGUGAGUGAUGAAGGCCUUAGGGUUGUAAAGCUCUUUUACCCGGGAUGAUAAUGACGGUACCGGGAGAAUAAGCGCCGGCUAACUCCGUG